This 253-nucleotide ribosomal RNA is filed under the name uncultured bacterium. RNAcentral describes it as "partial 16S ribosomal RNA". It matches the Rfam family "Bacterial small subunit ribosomal RNA", at positions 524 to 776 of the family's 1533-position model. The record is from RNAcentral.
GACGAACCGUACGAACGUUAUUCGGAAUUACUGGGCUUAAAGGGUGCGUAGGCGGCGCAGUAAGUUGGGUGUGAAAUCCCUCGGCUUAACCGAGGAAUUGCGCCCAAAACUACUGUGCUCGAGGGAGGUAGAGGUGAGCGGAACUUAGGGUGGAGCGGUGAAAUGCGUUGAUAUCCUAAGGAACACCGGUGGCGAAAGCGGCUCACUGGACCUCUUCUGACGCUGAGGCACGAAAGCUAGGGGAGCAAACGGG